AUUGAACGCUGGCGGCAGGCCUAACACAUGCAAGUCGAGCGGAUGAAGGGAGCUUGCUCCUGGAUUCAGCGGCGGACGGGUGAGUAAUGCCUAGGAAUCUGCCUGGUAGUGGGGGAUAACGUCCGGAAACGGGCGCUAAUACCGCAUACGUCCUGAGGGAGAAAGUGGGGGAUCUUCGGACCUCACGCUAUCAGAUGAGCCUAGGUCGGAUUAGCUAGUUGGUGGGGUAAAGGCCUACCAAGGCGACGAUCCGUAACUGGUCUGAGAGGAUGAUCAGUCACACUGGAACUGAGAAACGGUCCAGACGCCUACGGGAGGCAGCAGUGGGGAAUAUUGGCAAAUGGGCGAAAGCCUGAUCCAGCCAUGCCGCGUGUGUGAAGAAGGUCUUCGGAUUGUAAAGCACUUUAAGUUGGGAGGAAGGGCAGUAAGUUAAUACCUUGCUGUUUUGACGUUACCAAAAGAAUAAGCACCGGCUAACUGCGU
Molecule: ribosomal RNA, 483 nt
Filed under: uncultured bacterium
Lineage: Bacteria
Description: partial 16S ribosomal RNA
Rfam family: Bacterial small subunit ribosomal RNA
Source: RNAcentral